RNAcentral lists this ribosomal RNA (253 nucleotides) under uncultured bacterium. RNAcentral describes it as "partial 16S ribosomal RNA". It matches the Rfam family "Bacterial small subunit ribosomal RNA", at positions 524 to 776 of the family's 1533-position model. The record is from RNAcentral.
GACGAACCGUCCAAACGUUAUUCGGAAUCACUGGGCUUACAGAGUUCGUAGGCGGUCUGGCAAGUUGGGUGUGAAAUCCCUCGGCUCAACCGAGGAACUGCGCUUGAAACUACCAGACUCGAGGGAGAUAGAGGAAAGCGGAACUGAUGGUGGAGCGGUGAAAUGCGUUGAUAUCAUCAGGAACACCGGUGGCGAAGGCGGCUUUCUGGGUCUUACCUGACGCUGAGGAACGAAAGCCGGGGGAGCGAACGGG